AGUGAACGCUGGCGGUAGGCCUAACACAUGCAAGUCGAACGGCAGCACAGUAGGAGCUUGCUCUUACGGGUGGCGAGUGGCGGACGGGUGAGGAAUACAUCGGAAUCUACUUUUUCGUGGGGGAUCACGUAGGGAAACUUACGCUAAUACCGCAUACGACCUACGGGUGAAAGCAGGGGAUCUUCGGACCUUGCGCGAUUGAAUGAGCCGAUGUCGGAUUAGCUAGUUGGCGGGGUAAAGGCCCACCAAGGCGACGAUCCGUAGCUGGUCUGAGAGGAUGGUCAGCCACACUGGGACUGAGACACGGUCCAGAGGCCUACGGGAGGCAGCAGUGGGGAAUAUUGGACAAUGGGCGCAAGCCUGAUCCAGCCAUACCGCGUGGGUGAAGAAGGCCUUCGGGUUGUAAAGACCUUUUGUUGGGAAAGAAAAGCAGCAGGUUAAUACCCCGCGGUUCUGACGGUACCCAAAGAAUAAGCACCGGCUAACUUCGUG
This 492-nucleotide ribosomal RNA is filed under the name uncultured bacterium. Its description in RNAcentral is "partial 16S ribosomal RNA". It matches the Rfam family "Bacterial small subunit ribosomal RNA", at positions 29 to 507 of the family's 1533-position model. The record is from RNAcentral.